Molecule: non-coding RNA, 4546 nt
Organism: Xyrichtys novacula (pearly razorfish)
Lineage: Eukaryota; Metazoa; Chordata; Actinopteri; Labriformes; Labridae
Source: the annotation of a GenBank genome assembly
GCUGCGGUGGUUCAUGUUAUCUGAUUGUAUAAGAUUCUUGCAGGACUUUGAAAUAUCUUGUUUAGUCAGGAAUAAAAAAAAACAGUUCAAAAAAAAGAAUAAAAUUUGCCUGAAAAACAGAAUAAAAGGAAAAAAUAUUAUUACAAAAAAAUAGAAAAACAGAGAGAAGAAAGAAAAUUGUCCAAAAACGGCAAAGGAAAAAAAGAUACACAAAAAACACUUUUUUGGGGGGGAAGUGAAUGCAAUAUGCUUCCGUGUACACUGUGUGCACAAUUAUUAGGCAAGUGAGUAUUUUGAUCAUAUCAUUUUUAUGCAUAUUUUCCAACUCCAAGCUGUAUAAACUUGAAUGUUUAUUGGAUAUAAGCAUAUCAGGUAAUGUGUAUUAGUGUAAUGACGGAGGCUGGGGCCUAAGGAGAUCAAAACCCUUUUUUUAAGGUGUGCAUAAUUAUUAGGCAGCUUCUUUUCCUCAGGUAAAAUGGGCCAAAAAAGAGAUUUAAGUGACUCUGAAAAGUCAAAAAAUGUAAAAAGUCUUUCAGAGGGAUGCAGCACUCUUGAAAUUGCUUAGAUAUUUGGGCGUGAUCACAGAAACAGCAAACAUUUUGAUGCAAAUAGUCAACAGGGUCGCAAGAAAUGUGUUAAGAAAAAAAGACGCAAAUUAACUGCCAAAGAUUUGAGAAGACUCAAACGUAAAGCUACCAGGAAUCGCUUAUCCUCCGGUGCUGUCAUAUUCCAGAACUGCAACCUACCUGGAGUGCCUAGAGGUACAAGAUGAUCAGUGCUCAGAGACAUGGCCAAAGUAAGGAAGGCUGAAACCCGACCACCACUGAACAAGACACAAGUUGAAACGUCAAGACUAAGCCAAGAAAUAUCUGAAGAGAGAUUUUUCAAAGGUUUUAUGGACUGAUGGGAUGAGAGUGACUCUUGACGGACCAGAUGGAUGGACCUGUGGCUGGAUCAGUAAUGGGCACAGAGCUCCACUUUGAAUCAGACACCAGCAAGGUGGAGACGGGGUACUGGUAUGGGCUGGUAUUAUUAAAGAUGAGCUAGCUGGACCUUUUCGAGUUGAAGAUGGACUUAAAAUCAACUCCCAAAUCCAAUGCCAGUUUUGAGAAGACACUUUCUUCAAGCAGUGGUACGGGCAAAAGUCUGCAUCUUUCAAGAAAACCAUGAUUUUAAUGCAGAACAAUGCUCCAUUGCAUGCAACAAAGUACUCCACUAUGUGGCUCGCCAAUAAAGGCCUUAAAAACGAAAGAAUAAUGACAUGGCCUCCUUCUUCACCUGACCUAAACCCUGUUGAGAACUUGUGGGCCCUUCUUAAACGGAAAAUUUACAGUGAAGGAAGACAGUACACCUCUCUGAACAGUGUCUGGAACAGUAUCUGGGAGGCUUUGGUUGCUGCAACACAAAAAGUUGAUCGUCAACAGAUCAAGAAACUGAAAGACUUCAUGAAUGGAAGGCUUAUGACUGUUAUUGAAAAGAAGGGUAGUUACAUUGGUCACUGAUUUUUUUUUUAAAUUUCAACAAUUUUUAUUUGUAAAUUGAGUUGUUUGUUUAUCAUUCUCACUUUUACAAGUGAAAAUAAACAAGUGAGAUGGAAAAUUUUUCAUUUUUAAUUUAGUUGCAUAAUAAUUCUGCACACUAAUAGCUGCCCCCAAUAAUUGUGCACACAUAGAUAUUCUCCUAAGGAAGUCAAAAUCUCACUUUUACUCCCUUAAAUUUUAAGGUUUGAGGUUUAUUAACAUUUUGGAUUGACCAAGAGCACUGCAGUUGUUCAAAAAUAAAAUUUAUCCUCAAAAAUACAACUUGCCUAAUAAUUGUGCACACAGUGUAUAUUACACCUUUUAAAAAAAAAAAAAGUAAUGUUUUUCCAGUGGCCCUCAUCCUCUUUCUUAAAACAAUAAUAAACUGACAGUUGUCACAAAUUGAUGAAAUUACCAGCUAAACACAUGAAUACUUGAAAACAAGCAAGACUUUCCUGUAUAGUCCAUUUUGUGGUCAAUGUUCCUGUAGUUACCUGGUAAUUUAAAGGCAGCUGUCAGAUACAUGUUAAACCAGGUUAGUUCCAGUCAAGGUUUUAUCAUUUAUGAGGUGGUGCAUUGAAGUAGCUUUUAAAGGCCAUCAAACAGCUAAGAUCAAUUAGAUGUUAGGGCGCUGUUAAGAGAGUGACGAUUUUCACUCUAAUAUAUUGUGCCAGUGGUUGUUAAUAUGGUGACGUGUUGCUAUUACGCUUCAGAUAUAGAGAAUGAAACCGUAAAAAUCAUCUUGUAUUCCCUCUCUGCAGCUCAAACCCCUUUCUGUGACCCCCAAUGAAAUUUGAUUUCUCAAACACAUCACUUAAAGAAGUGAUUAAAACUCGCAUAAGAUUUUGCUAAUGGCCCAACAAUAUUUACCAGGUCUGGUACCCCCUAUGAAGUUCCUAGUCUCAAAGUUUACCUGGCAGGUAAGAAAUGCUCUGCUCAGUAAUAAAACAGGAAUUUGGGUAAGUGGUUGGCAAAACUGAGCAAAUAAAAGCGAAGACAAUUAUACUUUACACAAUUGUGUUAAUUAUGGCAGAGACAGCUGCUCACAGCAGGGACAUGGUGGGUAUCCUAUUGACGCCUCAGGCUUAAUGUAAUAACUCAGCAGUGUGCGCCAAAGUGCAGAGGCCAGCACAGACUUCUCUCCCUAUGUCCUGAACUUGAAAUCUUCAGUUCUCAUUGAAGUCACUCACCAAAGCUGUUCCCUGAGCUCCUGAGUCUUGUAAAUUCCUCUUGAUUGUUGCCACAGAUCACCUGCCUGACUCUUCACAGCUCUCUCAGUCUCGCCUUUAUCAUCGCAUUAUGAUGAUAUUAACUGCUAUAAUGAGCAUUAUCCUUCCUGCUGUAAUUAACUCCAUUAGCACACAUGCUGUUUUUUGCUGUUUUUGACUUGAACUGUCAACAGCAUAAAAUGCCCUUAAGUAUAAAGCCAUUCUUAUAGUAUAUGUGUGUGCUGUGAUGUGAAAGAAUUGUCUCCAAAAGAAUUUCAAAUCACAUUGUGUGAUUAUAGUUCUAAAAUCUUUGUUUAGGGGGUCUGUGAUGGAUCUUAGAGUUUAAUUUCUUGACCCAAGAAAUUCAACUCUUUCUAGUCCCCAGUUUAACUUGAAUCACUAAACUCUGAGUCUAAGAAGAGUCUGGGUCAUCAGGGUGGAAUUCAAGUCCAGUCUUAGUCCCAGUGUCCUAGUUGUGAGACUCACAAAGUGAGUCCUGAUCACCUUUGUCCGAGUUCUCAAUAUUAAUGUUAUUAUGAUUUAUUACACAUGCACUGUUACAUAAGAGAUUGUUAGUGACAGGUGAUUUUUUUGUUCCUAUAACAUAUAAAGCUCUGUUUUCAUAGCCUGGCUGGUCCAUCCAGUUGCUACUGUUUUAAUGCUGCAGCAUGUGUUUUGUUAGCAUGCUAAUAUUUAACCAUACAACUACACAUAAUGCUGAGCGGAUGAAACCUCAUGAAGUGUGACAUAUUUAAUAUUGUGAGCUGUUUCUCCUCACAGGAUCUUUUUGUAACACCUUAGGAUAGGAUCUGUGUUCUUUUUUUUAAAAAUGGAGUAGUAAUUGAUUCUUGCUGACACUUUUUACUUGUAUUUAUCACUCAAAACUGUAACUUCAGGAACUCCUGUAUAAGCAGAUCAUGACAUCGAUAAGAUCUCAGUUUGCUUACUUCGCUCGAAGACUGGCUGCUUCUCACUCUGUUUGAGACUAGGGAAGCUCUGCUCAGGUGACAUUGCUCAGGUAAACCAAACAGCAGCCUACAGAGUUUUCAGAGCACAUCUCACACAGUCACUCCUCAUUGGAGUGCUACAUUUGUAAAAUGAAACGUCUGAUCGGGUCCAGACUCGUGUGUCCCAUGAUUGUUUGGAAUUACCAUGUAAAAACUGCUAUGACUCAGCUGAGGACCCGUGCUGAUCUGCUAACUACGUGAAUGCACACAGGUGAGUUUGUAUCUGUCAUUAUAUGGUGAGAUACAGUAUUGUGUGGUGUAACAUUGAAAGCUGUAACACGAAAGGGUCUGGGUGAAAAAAAAAUCUGAAUUUUCAGUGGAUCAGACUGAAAAUAGCACAAGAUGGUUUCACAGGAACUUGAGUUAUUAGCUGAUAUAAAAAAAUAAUCUGAAAUACAAGCGUAUUGCAUUCACUUCCAAAAAAAAGGAAACUGUUCAUUUAAGUAAUUUUUUUUUUUCCUGUGCUGUUUUUCAGACAAACUUUUUCCUUUUUCUGUUUCUCUGACUAUUUUUUUGUCCUGUUUUUUGUACGAAUAUUUUUUCCACCCUUUCUGUUAUUUGGACAAAUUUUAAUUCUUUUUUUCGUACUAUUUUUUUUUUGUCUCUGUUUUUCGGAUUUUUUUUCCUGACUAAGCUAGGUACUUAGAAAUCCUACGAGAAUCUCAUGCAAUCAGAUAACGUUAACCACCGCAGCUGCUCCACAUCAGCAGAUUCUCCAGCUUCCAGAUAACUUCGACUACAGGGUCAAUGAGAGGAAGGCAUGUUAUCAGUUAAACAUAGGGUAUGCAAAUCCUGAGGGGCCUGUGCAAAG